RNAcentral lists this ribosomal RNA (467 nucleotides) under uncultured bacterium. Its description in RNAcentral is "partial 16S ribosomal RNA". It matches the Rfam family "Bacterial small subunit ribosomal RNA", at positions 28 to 507 of the family's 1533-position model. The record is from RNAcentral.
GACGAACGCUGGCGGCGUGCUUAACACAUGCAAGUCGAACGGAAAGGCUCCAGCUUGCUGGAGUGCUCGAGUGGCGAACGGGUGAGUAACACGUGGGCAAUCUGCCCUGCACUCUGGGAUAAGCCUGGGAAACUGGGUCUAAUACCGGAUAGGACCUUUCUCCUCAUGGGGUUUGGUGGAAAGUUUUUCGGUGCAGGAUGAGCCCGCGGCCUAUCAGCUUGUUGGUGGGGUAAUGGCCUACCAAGGCGACGACGGGUAGCCGGCCUGAGAGGGGGGUCGGCCACAUUGGGACUGAGAUACGGCCCAGACUCCUACGGGAGGCAGCAGUGGGGAAUAUUGCACAAUGGGCGCAAGCCUGAUGCAGCGACGCCGCGUGAGGGAUGACGGCCUUCGGGUUGUAAACCUCUUUCAGUAGGGACGAAGCGCAAGUGACGGUACCUGCAGAAGAAGCACCGGCUAACUACGUG